This is a long non-coding RNA of Fukomys damarensis (Damara mole-rat), 580 nucleotides long. RefSeq lists it as uncharacterized. Lineage: Eukaryota; Metazoa; Chordata; Mammalia; Rodentia; Bathyergidae. The record is from RefSeq and is a predicted model, not a curated record. The transcript is spliced from 3 exons.
GUGUGCCCUAAGCUGCCAGACUCCCUAAGGCACCAGGACCCUCGGCCAGGGUGGCAGGACCCUUGGCUGCAGCCUCCCUUCUCACCUCAAGGUGGAAGCACCUGGUUUGGAAGACUUCUCAAGAGCCCGAGCACCAAAGGACUCACGGCUGGCUCCUGGUUAAGGUGCAGCGUGAAUUGGCACUGCCAGGCAGCCGGAAGGCUGGAUAAACGCACCGACCUCCCAGCUCCAAGCACCCCCAAGACUCAGUGGUGCAGCCCCAAAGGCCCCAUGGAAGCGGCCUAACCUGGGCUUCACAGCCCCAGGGCUCCUCGCCCGGGUCAGGAGGGAGGAGCUGGCCCCAUCUCCAGUUCAGCGCCAGCACAGGACAGCCGCUGGGCCCUGGGCCUCUGAACCUGAGUGUGGUCCUUGGGGACAGCCUCCCUAUGCAUCUGAGUGUGGCGUGCACCCCGACAGGUCCUGUGAAUCUGGUCACAGGUGGCAAGGAGGAAACCCCAGAGUCCUUGCACGGAGUCCAGUCCACCAGGUGUAUAAUUCAAGCAGCUCAGAUGGACUGCAGCAAGGUGUAUAUGCAACCAAC